This 489-nucleotide ribosomal RNA is filed under the name Triticum aestivum (bread wheat). RNAcentral's name for it is "partial small subunit ribosomal RNA". Lineage: Eukaryota; Viridiplantae; Streptophyta; Magnoliopsida; Poales; Poaceae. The record is from RNAcentral.
AUGAUAUGCUUCUUCGCAGUCGAGUGGCACUUUGUAGACCGUGUGGCAAGACAAUUUGGAAAAAGACAAGGUAUUCCAAUUGAGGAGAGCAAGGAGGAAAUGCUAUCUCUGCAUCGGUUCGAUCGAAGGAACAAUCAGGAUAUAUCGGAUUGGGCAAACAAACACCGUGCGUGGAUAGAAAUUUGGAAUCAAAGAGACACGUUAGUGCAAUCAGAGAAUAGACCUCACAAUCAGUCAGCAUAUCAGAAGUAUCAAGUGUGGUAUGCGGAUCGUUACCGGUUAAAGCUGAAGCCAGGUUGGACUCACGAAGAGUGGUCGGAGUUGGUGUCUGAAGACCCGGAGACUGCAGAAGGUUAUCAUACCUUCAACACGGCUGUGAGAGACACCAGAGGGGCUCAUGUUGACUACGCACCGAUGCAUGACGAAAUGGUAGUCUGUUUGACCUAUUCUAACAUACUUGCAUCAUGUUGUCUUCUUUCAAAUACAUAA